UGGGGAAUUUUGGACAAUGGGCGAAAGCCUGAUCCAGCAAUGCCGCGUGUGUGAAGAAGGCCUUCGGGUUGUAAAGCACUUUUGUCCGGAAAGAAAUCCUUGGCUCUAAUACAGUCGGGGGAUGACGGUACCGGAAGAAUAAGCACCGGCUAACUACGUGCCAGCAGCCGCGGUAAUACGUAGGGUGCAAGCGUUAAUCGGAAUUACUGGGCGUAAAGCGUGCGCAGGCGGUUUGCUAAGACCGAUGUGAAAUCCCCGGGCUCAACCUGGGAACUGCAUUGGUGACUGGCAGGCUAGAGUAUGGCAGAGGGGGGUAGAAUUCCACGUGUAGCAGUGAAAUGCGUAGAGAUGUGGAGGAAUACCGAUGGCGAAGGCAGCCCCCCUGGGCCAAUACUGACGCUCAUGCACGAAAAGCGUGGGGAGCAAAACAGGAUUAGAUACCCUGGUAGUCCACGCCCUAAAACGAUGUCAACUAGUUGUUGGGGAUUCAUUUCCUUAGUAACGUAGCUAACGCGUGAAGUUGACCGCCUGGGGAGUACGGUCGCAAGAUUAAAACUCAAAUGAAUU
RNAcentral lists this ribosomal RNA (567 nucleotides) under uncultured bacterium. Its description in RNAcentral is "partial 16S ribosomal RNA". It matches the Rfam family "Bacterial small subunit ribosomal RNA", at positions 355 to 911 of the family's 1533-position model. The record is from RNAcentral.